This is a long non-coding RNA of Gasterosteus aculeatus aculeatus (three-spined stickleback), 318 nucleotides long. Lineage: Eukaryota; Metazoa; Chordata; Actinopteri; Perciformes; Gasterosteidae. The record is from Ensembl.
AUUAGCUGGUAUUGCCAAAGCAUUGUUUCCCACGCAGCACUUUGGGUGGUUAACAGAGGAGCGUAGGAGUAGUUUCGAUCCGUCAGACUGUUUCAGCGUCCCAGAGAAGGAUGCCUGGGAGAGACGGACGAAAGGCUCUGGUUCCGCUCCAUGACAUCCACCCUGAAGAAUCUCAUCACUGAAGCUUGAGCUGCUGUAGGGCGGAAGGAGGAGGACUCCUUGGAGGACAUCUGAGAUCCUCACCACCUCGCAGCAACUGACGCUGACUUUUGACUUUUUUUCUGGUUCACAUUGAGGUCUAAAAAUAAAUGUUUCUUU